UUGAUAGUUUUCUUUUAUUAAAAAAUAUAUCAAUAGAAGAAAAUAAAAAAUUAAAUACAGCAUCGGAACAAUAAAUCAACUCUCAUUUAUACAAUUGAUUCGGACCAUAUUUUUACAUCAGUGAUGGUUGGAAAUGUGAUAAGAAGCAAAUAUUUCAAGUUUUGGAAUGCAAAAAAUUUUAAAACAAUUUAGUGUAAAAAUAUGGCCUUGUUUUGUUUAAAAAUGAGACCUAAUUGAACAAGAUCAUGAAAAUAUAAGAAUUAUAGUGAGAUUCCAAUCCAUUUGGAAGAUACUGAAACACAGUUAUAAAAACCAAGCAAUGAUUCAUUACAUUAUCUGGAUUUAUAUUUUUUGCACUAAAAAAUGUUGACAAUUUAACAAAAUUAGUUACUUGUGGAUACUUCACUUAGAAAUAUUAAAUUUUCUAUUAAAAUAUUUUAUACCGAUUAUACUGAUGAUUAUGUAGAUAAAUGCAGAAAAUAUUCCAUACAACACCAUUAGAUAAAAAAGGCUUUAACAGUAAGUUUGCAAUUUUGAAAUUUGUAUAGCCAAUUACACCGAACAAAAUUUAAAUAUCCAAAUCGUACCUAUACUUGAGUUGGGGUGGAUUUUUAUCGAAACAAGUCAUUCUUAACGAUCCAAAUACUAAAGUAGUAGUUAUUUUUGUCCAUAAAUUAAGGGGGUACAAUCAAAAAUACAAUACUUCGUCCGACAUCCUCUCUUCCCUACCUUCUAAUAUCGCAUAAGUACCGUUUCCCUUCUAUACAUGCAGUUAAUUAAAACCUCUUCACCUAAAUACCCAAUAGUCAGAAGCAUUCUUGACAUCCAACUUUAGUUUUAUUGCAAGUCUUCCAUCUCACAAUGAAAACUAAACUGCAGAUCACUGUAGUAAAGUAGCCUUCAACAACACUUCGGAAGUCUGUAGUCCAAUCUCAAGCUCAAACUAAUCUAAGGGGCACGACGGGCCUUUGUGCUUAACGACCUUCAUUAGUCUAUAGUCCAAUCUUAAGUCCAGCACGUCAGACCUGAUCGAAAUCCUUCUGGAUAUCCAUGAAGAUGGCAGAGGCACACAUUGCUUUGGAAUUAUAGGUACAGAAGUUCUAGAUUCUGUCCUUGAUCAAACGUCCAAAGACUUUACCCAAAUAGGGUGUUAAGAUUCAGGUUUGGUAGGGUCUUUACCGGGUGCAGCAUGGGACAAGAGAGGGAAUAUGACUUUGCAAACUUAUCGUGUUAAAACCAUUUAUAAUUUCUGUUUCAAAAGUUGGUUUUUUAUAUAUAAGAGGUAUAACUUGUCACAUAUACUGCAAUUAAUUUCUUCGUAUUAUAAUUAUAAAUAACGAUUGAAAAUAGUUUAUUUUUGUGAAACUACUGCUACAAAUCGUGGAAUGACAAAAUAUUUUUCCAGUCGAUUUAAAAAAUAGUCUUUUGAGAUUCAUAAAUAUAUAUGAAAAUAGAUGAAACACAACCAAUAAUUAAUAAAUUAUUGAAUAUAAUAUCCCUAAUUUUAGAAAUUUUCGUUUCAUAACAAAAUUUAAUUAAACACAAAUUAAUAAUUAACAUACAUGACUAUAAAGAAACUUUACACAAAAUUUUAAUAUAUAAGGUAAGUUAUAGUGAACAGAGACGCAACAAUGAGGGGUGUCAAUCCAAUUUUUCCUUAAAACAAAACUAAUUUAACUUAGAGUGUUUUUACUAUAAUGUUACAAAUAUCCCGUUAGUGAUUCAAUCAAUUGAUUGUUUACAUAUUCAUAGAUUUAAAAAAGUAUUAUAUAUAAAAUAUUUUGAACUCACGCAAGUUGCAAUCCGUCCGCAACUGUUUCGAUACAUUAGGCAACCAACCUUACAAUGUGACAAGUGACAUUCGAACCGGUUUUUGUUAAUACUGAUUACACAUAAAAAAUUAAAGCAUUUUCAUAAUUUUAGUGGUCCUUCGAAUAUUUACAACAUUCAAAACCCUAAUAUAUGAGUUAUUUUAUAUUUUGAUGAUCCUUUAUAAACUUCCAAGGCCCUAUAACACAAUUCUAUAUGCGUCUUAGGUCGUAAGUCGAAACGCGUUGCAAGUUCGAGUAGAUUGUGUCAAGACAACGAUGCAAGACGUAAGUGUCAGAUAUCAGAGUUGAACUUUUAACUACAUGUCCUGCUUCAUCUUGUGAAGCUGAAACGCAGUUUCAGUGCAUUGUGUGGGUUUAAAAUGUACCACGAGUGAAAAAACAUUAAGUAAUUUAACAAUAUGCCACGUUCAUAAACGCAUAUUAGAUUUCUUAGAUUUAGCAGCACUAACUCAAUCAUUUAUAAAUGUAUAUGUCCACUCAAAACAAAAUAUUUCUUAUAAUCAUCUUAAUAAGUCAAUGUGGCUACCUUUCGUCAUUAUAAAGAAUUCUCUUGACAUCCCCUUUGAGAGUUGUUAGGUUGUUGCGCCCCUGAUACUAACAAUUACCUUAUCUGGUCCUUCGAGCCGGAUAUGAAUCUAUGAAAAACUAGACGGACCAUAUAGUGUAAAUCGAUGUAAUGUGUUCUGUAAUGUAAAUACUGUUAUUUUUCGUGAUUGUAAAUAUAUUGAAACUAGAGUAAAUUUACUAGAUGUGUUACUAUUCUAAUUUCUCGUUGUAAAUAUCACAAAACUGUCAAUUUAAUUGAAUAUUAAGUUGAAUUUAAUGGAAUAGUUGGUUAUAUUUAUACUGAAUACUGUUUACUACAACUAGGAUCAGGUCUUCGGAGCCUAAUGAGGUUAUUUGUUCAUAUCCAAAUCGAAAAAUUGUGGUGACAAACAAUAUGGUCAGUAAGGCGAUAUUACUAAUAUAACAAAGAAAUCAAUUUAAUUUCUUUACAAUUAACUCAUUUUUCUAAAAAUUAACGAUAUAAUACUCAACUUUUUUAAAUUAAAUAAAUGAUAAAAAAUUUAGGUUAACAAAUUUAGUGUCAGAAUAACUAACAGCUGACUAUUCUAAUAUUAAGUAAAUAAGUAUCAGUUCCAACAAAGCAAAUUAUUGUUAAGUCUUCAAUGAAUAAGCUAAGUACUAAAUUAGUUCGGUUGCAGUUGAUUUUUGGUGAUGUAUCUUUAUGUUUCUUCAUGUGUAUUUAGUGGACGAAGUACAAUCCUCGGAUCUCUCUCCACCAUGCGAUCGGUAUCUUCAUUGCUAAAUUAAACAAGUUAAAUAUGUAUAAAACACAGCUACCAAAACAACAAUUGAUACUAAUUGUUGAAUUUAAAUUUCAUAUUUAGAAUUAGACGUGAUAACAAUGUAAAAUAAAAUGUUUCCCUUGAAACAAUAAAUUAUCACACUGUAGAUAUGAAAAAAUCGUUGAUAAUUUCUUGUCAAUAAGAAUGGAACAAUGGAAAUGCAAUUAAACUCACACAAGAUCCUUAUUUUCCUGUGACAUCAAUUUGCUCUGUUCAGUAUCUUCUUGUUGUGCUGGUUGAUAAGCUACCUCAGAUACUGGGGCAUAUUGUGCUGUUACAAGAAGAUCCGUAGAAGGGUUUACUGUUAAAGCUUGUCCACCUGAAGUAUCUAAAUGGUCUUUAGUAUGUCUCCAGCACAUCCUCCUCGUUAUACGGACAAAGAAAACUGAAAAACAGGACCAGUAUCGGUUUUGUUAUUUGUUUUAAUAAUAUUUAGUGAAUUGAAAAUGAAACAUUAACAAACAUCUUGUUCAAAUAUAUUAAAAACAACAACAAUCAAGUUUUUUUGGAUAUAAUUAAUUUUUUUGUACUUUGUAGCAAUCAUAAUUUAUUAUCAAGUGUAUAUAAUUAAUUAUAUAGAUAAUGAAUGUUUGUAAAUGACAAUAAAUAAGGAGACAUGUCUCAAAUACAGAUAACAAAUAAAUAAAAAUUAUAGACACCUAAUUAUUCUAUUUGUAUUGUAUGUGCGUCAAAUGUUAUAAAUAUUACUGAAAACACAAAUAGAUUCAACUAUUUUUACAUUUAUUGUUAAAAUUAGUAUCUGUGUUAUAAACUUGUUAAAAGUUGUACAGUUACAUUUAACAUGAUUAGCAACUGUUAUUUUUAAAAUUUGCACUUAUGUGACACAGUAAACAUACUCUAGAAGUAAAUUUUUUGGGGUUUAAACCAAGACGUUUUGAAUUUAAUUUUUGUUCUUCUAACUAAACCAAAAAUGCACUAAAUACCAAGAUUUUUGUUUGCGAUCCUUGAAUUGUUACAGAUUUUGUUAGAAUAUCAAAUUAUUUGGCACAAUUGAGUGGUUUUAGCAAUUGUGUAUCAAAUAAAAUUAUUACCCUAAUUAAAUGGUUCAUUUAUAAUUUCGAGUGGAAAAUAUGACAGAAUAGUUGAAACAAUUUUUCAAAUCUAUAGAUAUAUGAUUAAAAUUUGAUAUAAAGUUAUUCUUACCAAAUAAUAGUAUGGAAAGUGCGAAGAAUAUAGCUCCAAAAAUUGUGAUCAGCAAAAAUAAAUCCUCCUUAUUUUCUGAGGUAUCAGAAUAUCCCAAUGCACCUUGCACAAGCAUCACAAGGCUAAAAUAUAAGAUAUUCCAAUUUUUACAUCAAAAUUAAAUUUAAAUCAAAACAAUUUACUAAAAAAUCAACAAACACUUUAUUUAAUCUCUAGAAAAAAUGAAAUUUAUUAUAUAAUAAGAUUGAAAAUCCUUCUGAGAACAUUACUUUUGUAGUAUUAUCGUUCUUUUCUAUUUAUUUAAAUUAAUAACAUUUUUUUUAAAUAACACUUACUUACCCAACAAUGAAACAAGCUACGCAUGAUGAAACAAGAAUUAUAGGUAAUACAUUUCGAGAAGGCAAACAACUUAUCCCACAUGGUCUCCUAGCAUUUUGUGAAACUGAAGAAGCUAAAAAACUUAUUGGUCUAUCUUGCCAUCUGUCUUGAGGGCCAUUCGAUUCAUAUGUUAUAGUUGUAGGUUGAUAAACUGCUCCAGACAUUUCCAGAGUUUUUUUUUUUUAUAUACUUAAGUCACUGAAAAUUAUCCCAAAAACACACACGCUAUGUUGAUAAAUAAAUCGGAUAUGGCGUUUAAAAACAGGUUUACUGAUUACUUUUUGAAAUUAAAAAUUCAAUUAGUCAUCUAACAUUAUUUACCAUAUCAAAUAUUAGAUUAGAAGUUAGAACAAGUUUUUAUUAUCAAGUUACAUUAAAAUAAAACAGUAAAAUAAAUUAUUUACCUAUUACUC
Diorhabda carinulata is the source of this 5136-nucleotide long non-coding RNA. RefSeq lists it as uncharacterized. NCBI's taxonomy places the organism in Eukaryota, Metazoa, Arthropoda, Insecta, Coleoptera, Chrysomelidae. The transcript has 2 exons. The record is from RefSeq and is a predicted model, not a curated record.